Felis catus (domestic cat) is the source of this 1799-nucleotide long non-coding RNA. RefSeq lists it as uncharacterized. The record is from RefSeq and is a predicted model, not a curated record. Lineage: Eukaryota; Metazoa; Chordata; Mammalia; Carnivora; Felidae. The transcript is spliced from 3 exons.
UGUUCUUUGCAUUCUUAAAGGAGAACACAGGGAACAUGAGCACUUUUCCAUUCUUCAGAAGCUGGUCUGAGAUAUAAUCCAGGUAUCAGCUCGGAGCCUUCCUGACAGGGAUCCCCAGAGGCAGCCAUGAAGUUCCCCAUAUGGAUUCCCCAUUGAGUCCUGAGGAUUUCACGACAUGGGUUUGGCAAGAAAAGUGGAAUCUGCUCCAUCAAGACUGAUGAUUCAACUAGACAUUAAUGGGGAAGAAGGAGGGGGAAAUGACGGACACCAAAGAAAGAAAGCAACACCCUGCCUCAUCACAUCAUCGUGUCCUCCACCCGCUAAAUUUCCAUUCUGUCUCCAACAUCCGCUUGAUGAGCGACACAAACAUGCAGUCAGUGGCCUAGUCAGAAAUCCUGAAAACCAUACAGACCUGCUCCAUCUCACUCAUCUGGCUCCUCAACCCCCAUAACCUAUCUCAUGUCCUUUUUUGUGGUUGUUGUUAAGGUUAAUUCCAGUAUAGUUAAUAUGCAGUGUUUCAUUAGUUUCAAGUGUACAAUGCAGUGAUUCAAUAAUUCUACACAUGACUCAGCGCUCACAUUCUUUCGAUUUCACCUCGUUACCAUCACUUAACUCUAUUCUGCCACUAGGGCUUACUACUGUUUGGCUAAACUUUCUACAGUUGCCCCUAAACUGGUCUCCUUGUUUCCAGAGUCAUGUUUGUACAGACUCUCUUCUAAAUAGCACUCAAAACGCUUUCUGUGCAAAGUUUUUCCAUGACUCCCCAAGACUUUCAAAAUGUCAUCACUACUUUCUUCACCAGGUUCUCUGUCGCCUGCCACUGGUGUGGCUCUCAAGACUCCACAACUACCACUUGGCCAAAUGAGCCCUUCCUUCCAGGAAUAUGGAAGUACUGGUAAAUCCUUGGCUAAACCAUCUUAUUUCAUCAUCCCAUGAUUUUACUCAUUACAUUAUAUAGAUUUUCUCCCUGUAUCCAUCUCAUCCUUCCUUGAAAGGCUAUUAUUACCUGCUCAUACCUCAAAAGGAAGCUCAAAGGUCACCUCUACCAAACCACCCUCCAAACCACACACUACAUAGAUGUGACUUCUCCUUGUGAGUUCUCACGGUUGUCUCUCUCAGAAAUCUACAUCAAUCCCUGAUUUUGGCAUGUGAAGUGGCAUGCAUUUAUCACACCGUUGGCUUACCCCCACUGUGUACAAAAACAGGAUUGAGUCCAGAGCUGCUUGAGUCCAGAAUCUAUGUCUUAGUCAUUCUAUCCCCAGUGGCUUUCACAGUGUCUGGCAACAAUACUUGUUGACUAGAACUGAAAUCAGAUGCGACAUUGCUUGUGUUUGAGGUAGGGCGUGAGGAUCACAGCAGUGCUCAGGUACCGACUGUCCAGGGAUCUGUAGUCUCUCUGGUACUGACAUAGCUGCCAAUUCUCUACCCAUACGUCCUUGGCCUCACUGCCAUAAUGUAUUCAUAACCCUACUUCCAACUGCCUGUGGCUUUUCUAGGGUUUCGGGGGUUCCCGCCCUCCAGGAGGUGCCAGGGAAUGAACACCCCCUGUGGCAGCCUCCAAACAAACACUGAUAAAAGUUGGCAUAAAAAUAAUCUAAAACCCUCAUCCCUUGUACACGAUGCCUCAGGGGUGGCCAUUCUACAGUGACUCCUAGAUGUCCCCAGUGAGAUUAAGCUCCAGUUACCCACAGUGUUGAUUGAUUUGGUAAUGUUUGCUUACAUUGUACCCUUCCCUUCCUAUACCUGUCUCCAUUGUCCAAAUUUGGUGUCCAGGGAUUGUCUCACAAUGAAUAUCUUGU